CUCAUCGCAUGGUGGGGGGUGGAAAGCUUUUGUGGUUUUGGAUGGACUCGCGGCCUAUCAGCUUGUUGGUGAGGUAAUGGCUCACCAAGGCGACGACGGGUAGCCGGCCUGAGAGGGUGACCGGCCACACUGGGACUGAGACACGGCCCAGACUCCUACGGGAGGCAGCAGUGGGGAAUAUUGCACAAUGGGCGCAAGCCUGAUGCAGCGACGCCGCGUGAGGGAUGACGGCCUUCGGGUUGUAAACCUCUUUCAGUAGGGAAGAAGCGAAAGUGACGGUACCUGCAGAAGAAGCGCCGGCUAACUACGUGCCAGCAGCCGCGGUAAUACGUAGGGCGCAAGCGUUAUCCGGAAUUAUUGGGCGUAAAGAGCUCGUAGGCGGUUUGUCGCGUCUGCCGUGAAAGUCCGGGGCUCAACUCCGGAUCUGCGGUGGGUACGGGCAGACUAGAGUGAUGUAGGGGAGACUGGAAUUCCUGGUGUAGCGGUGAAAUGCGCAGAUAUCAGGAGGAACACCGAUGGCGAAGGCAGGUCUCUGGGCAUUAACUGACGCUGAGGAGCGA
RNAcentral lists this ribosomal RNA (560 nucleotides) under Arthrobacter sp. RNAcentral describes it as "bacterial SSU rRNA". It matches the Rfam family "Bacterial small subunit ribosomal RNA", at positions 182 to 756 of the family's 1533-position model. Lineage: Bacteria; Bacillati; Actinomycetota; Actinomycetes; Micrococcales; Micrococcaceae. The record is from RNAcentral.